GACGAACGCUGGCGGCGUGCUUAACACAUGCCAGUCGAACGGAAAGGCCCUGCUUUUGUGGGGUGCUCGAGUGGCGAACGGGUGAGUAACACGUGAGUAACCUGCCCUUGACUUUGGGAUAACUUCAGGAAACUGGGGCUAAUACCGGAUAGGAGCUCCUGCUGCAUGGUGGGGGUUGGAAAGUUUCGGCGGUUGGGGAUGGACUCGCGGCUUAUCAGCUUGUUGGUGGGGUAGUGGCUUACCAAGGCUUUGACGGGUAGCCGGCCUGAGAGGGUGGCCGGCCACAUGGGGACUGAGAUACGGCCCAGACGCCUACGGGAGGCAGCAGUGGGGAAUAUUGCACAAUGGGCGGAAGCCUGAUGCAGCAACGCCGCGUGCGGGAUGACGGCCUUCGGGUUGUAAACCGCUUUCGCCUGUGACGAAGCGUGAGUGACGGUAAUGGGUAAAGAAGCACCGGCUAACUACGUG
This 468-nucleotide ribosomal RNA is filed under the name uncultured bacterium. RNAcentral describes it as "partial 16S ribosomal RNA". It matches the Rfam family "Bacterial small subunit ribosomal RNA", at positions 28 to 507 of the family's 1533-position model. The record is from RNAcentral.